AGAGUUUGAUCCUGGCUCAGGACGAACGCUGGCGGCGUGCUUAACACAUGCAAGUCGAGCGAUGAAACCCUUCGGGGUGGAUUAGCGGCGGACGGGUGAGUAACACGUGGGCAACCUGCCUCAAAGAGGGGGAUAGCCUCCCGAAAGGGAGAUUAAUACCGCAUAACAUUAGUUUGUUGCAUGAUGAACUAAUUAAAGGA
RNAcentral lists this ribosomal RNA (200 nucleotides) under uncultured bacterium. RNAcentral's name for it is "partial 16S ribosomal RNA". It matches the Rfam family "Bacterial small subunit ribosomal RNA", at positions 8 to 208 of the family's 1533-position model. The record is from RNAcentral.